Molecule: ribosomal RNA, 497 nt
Filed under: uncultured bacterium
Lineage: Bacteria
Description: partial 16S ribosomal RNA
Rfam family: Bacterial small subunit ribosomal RNA
Source: RNAcentral
GAUGAACGCUGGCGGCGUGCCUAAUACAUGCAAGUCGAGCGAACAGACGAGGAGCUUGCUCCUUUGACGUUAGCGGCGGACGGGUGAGUAACACGUGGAUAACCUACCUAUAAGACUGGGAUAACUUCGGGAAACCGGAGCUAAUACCGGAUAACAUGUUGAACCGCAUGGUUCAACAGUGAAAGACGGUUUUGCUGUCACUUAUAGAUGGAUCCGCGCCGCAUUAGCUAGUUGGUAAGGUAACGGCUUACCAAGGCAACGAUGCGUAGCCGACCUGAGAGGGUGAUCGGCCACACUGGAACUGAGACACGGUCCAGACUCCUACGGGAGGCAGCAGUAGGGAAUCUUCCGCAAUGGGCGAAAGCCUGACGGAGCAACGCCGCGUGAGUGAUGAAGGUCUUCGGAUCGUAAAACUCUGUUAUUAGGGAAGAACAAAUGUGUAAGUAACUAUGCACGUCUUGACGGUACCUAAUCAGAAAGCCACGGCUAACUACGUG